UGCGUAGGCGGUCCGGGAAGUUGGGUGUGAAAGCCCUCAGCUCAACUGAGGAAUUACGCCCAAAACUGCCGGGCUCGAGGGAGACAUAGGUGAGCGGAACUUAGGGUGGAGCGGUGAAAUGCGUUGAGAUCCUAAGGAACACCAGUAGCGAAAGCGGCUCACUGGGUCUCUUCUGACGCUGAUGCACGAAAGCUAGGGGAGCGAAGAGGAUUAGAUACCCUCGUAGUCCUAGCCGUAAACAAUGAGCACUGGUUUGGAGGGUCCUCCAUAGCCUUCCAGACGUAGCGAAAGUGUUAAGUGCUCCGCCUGGGGAGUAUGGUCGCAAGGCUGAG
This 332-nucleotide ribosomal RNA is filed under the name uncultured bacterium. Its description in RNAcentral is "bacterial SSU rRNA". It matches the Rfam family "Bacterial small subunit ribosomal RNA", at positions 568 to 898 of the family's 1533-position model. The record is from RNAcentral.